This is a long non-coding RNA of Cucurbita maxima (winter squash), 538 nucleotides long. RefSeq lists it as uncharacterized. NCBI's taxonomy places the organism in Eukaryota, Viridiplantae, Streptophyta, Magnoliopsida, Cucurbitales, Cucurbitaceae. The transcript has 2 exons. The record is from RefSeq and is a predicted model, not a curated record.
UCUCCAUAACCACGAAAACUGAAUCAGCACACAGCCCAUUUUCCCUAGCAAGCUUAUGACUCUAGACAAAUAAUAUACAUUGACCGAACUGCUUUGCGAUUGAAUGGCAAUGGAGGAAACUACUAGACCAACCAGGUCUAAACCAAGGAAGGGCAGGCUGCCUCCCAAAAGAGGAAGUAUCAAACUAAAAAUAAUAUCCAAGUUCUUUGAGAAGGUGGUUGGAUUUGCAUCAAAAUUAGCAGGACAACAGAAACAAAGGGGCGUGGAUCGAGCAACAACAGAAGAACCAUAUCCUAGACGACUAUGCGCCCAAACUCAAUGCAGCCAAUGAGAUCAUUAUGAUGAGUGUAUGCUACCAGUUUUAUUCUACUAUGUAUAAAUAGUAUUUCUAUGUUGUUCACAUGCCAUGGUUAAACCUACUACAUUAUGCAACCAUGCUUGAUCUCUACUAUAUAACAAUCUUGUGCAAUAAAGAAAUAAUUUUAUGUUACUUAAAUUCACCAUUGGACAAUCAAAUCAUGCAUGCUCUUGAGAUCAG